RNAcentral lists this transfer RNA (141 nucleotides) under Bacteroides nordii. Its description in RNAcentral is "tRNA-OTHER". The record is from RNAcentral. Lineage: Bacteria; Pseudomonadati; Bacteroidota; Bacteroidia; Bacteroidales; Bacteroidaceae.
GGGGAAGUGGCGGAAUAGGUAGACGCUUAAUGCACUAUAAAUAUCGGUUUAGGUGAAGGAUGUUCAAGAAUAGCCUACUCAAGUCGAGAAGUGUAGAGAUAUGUUAGACGUAUCAUCCUGGUUCGACUCCGGGCUUCUCCA